AUGUCACUGCUGGAAGCAUUCACCUUCUUGUCCUUCUGGGCUGUUGGACUUGGGUUAACAAAAGUGGAGCAGUCCCAGAUAUCCAUUACCAAAGCAGUAAAGAAAAGUGUUAACAUAUAUUGCAAGAUAACAAGCUCAGAUUUUGAAGGGGAAUACGUUCACUGGUACCGGCAGAAACCCAAUAAGGAUUUGGAGCAUCUGAUUUAUGUGCGCUUCACAGGAAGCCCAGCUCUAGCUAACCUAGGUGGGAAGAAAAAUAAACUUGAGGCCAGAAAGGAUUCUCAAACUUCCACUUCAAUGCUUACCAUACAUGCCAUAGAAAAUGAAGAUGUGGCCAUUUACUACUGUGCUGGAUGGGACCACAAGGUAGGCCUCUGGAUCAAGAUAUUCGGAGACGGAACUAAGCUCAUAGUAACUCCCUCUGAUAGACGCCUUCCUGCAGACACUUCUCCCAAGCCCACCAUUUUUCUUCCUUCAAUUGCUGAAAUCAACCUCCACAAGGCUGGAACACAUCUUUGUCUUCUUGAGAAUUUUUUCCCAGAUGUUAUCAAGGUAUAUUGGAAGGAAAAGAAUGGCAAUACAAUUCUGGAGUCCCAGGAGGGAAAAACCAUGAAGACCAGUGACACAUACAUGAAACUCAGCUGGCUGACCGUGACUGAAGAGUCAAUGGAUAAAGAACACAAAUGUAUCGCCCAACAUGAGAAAAAUAAAGGAGGGGUUGACCAAGAGAUUCUCUUUCCUUCGGUAAAUCAAGACGCUGUGCUAGGAACUGUGAAUACAAAAAGAAAACAAGAUAAUGUUGGACAUUACCAUCGCACUGUGGUAGGAGCUAUGAAUACAGAAGGAAAACAAGAUAGUCUUGGAUAUCACCGUCCAUACCUAAGACUGCAGCUCAGCAACGUCUCUGCCUAUUACACCUACCUCCUCCUCCUCCUCAAGGGCGCCAUCUAUUUUUCCAUCAUCGCCUUCCGUCUGUUCAGGAGAACAGAAGACUGUGACAUGGAAACAGUUUGUAACAGAUGGUGGCAGAAGGAAGUCAACUGGUCUUCAUUUAUUUUCCCUAAAAGAGACCCCUGAGGAUCUAGCGGGGCUUUCUUUCUGGGUUUGGGUUAUUUCAGUUCACAUGUGUACUUUUUGUUAUGUCAUUAUUGUGUAAUGGUUUUUCAAACUA
Non-coding RNA from Equus quagga, 1171 nucleotides. NCBI's taxonomy places the organism in Eukaryota, Metazoa, Chordata, Mammalia, Perissodactyla, Equidae. The record is from the annotation of a RefSeq genome assembly.